RNAcentral lists this ribosomal RNA (468 nucleotides) under uncultured microorganism. RNAcentral's name for it is "bacterial SSU rRNA". It matches the Rfam family "Bacterial small subunit ribosomal RNA", at positions 9 to 524 of the family's 1533-position model. The record is from RNAcentral.
GAGUUUGAUCAUGGCUCAGAACGAACGCUGGCGGCAUGCCUAACACAUGCAAGUCGAACGAACUCUUCGGAGUUAGUGGCGCACGGGUGCGUAACGCGUGGGAAUCUGCCCUUGGGUACGGAAUAACUCAGAGAAAUUUGUGCUAAUACCGUAUAAUGACUUCGGUCCAAAGAUUUAUCGCCCAAGGAUGAGCCCGCGUAAGAUUAGCUAGUUGGUGGGUAAAGGCCUACCAAGGCUACGAUCUUUAGCUGGUCUGAGAGGAUGAUCAGCCACACUGGGACUGAGACACGGCCCAGACUCCUACGGGAGGCAGCAGUGGGGAAUAUUGGACAAUGGGCGAAAGCCUGAUCCAGCAAUGCCGCGUGAGUGAUGAAGGCCUUAGGGUUGUAAAGCUCUUUUACCCGGGAUGAUAAUGACAGUACCGGGAGAAUAAGCUCCGGCUAACUCCGUGCCAGCAGCCGCCGUAAC